Molecule: RNase P RNA, 333 nt
Filed under: Clostridiales bacterium
Lineage: Bacteria; Bacillati; Bacillota; Clostridia; Eubacteriales
Also listed under: 1 other name
Description: RNase P RNA component class A
Rfam family: Bacterial RNase P class A
About the family: Ribonuclease P (RNase P) is a ubiquitous endoribonuclease, found in archaea, bacteria and eukarya as well as chloroplasts and mitochondria. Its best characterised activity is the generation of mature 5'-ends of tRNAs by cleaving the 5'-leader elements of precursor-tRNAs.
Source: RNAcentral
CGAGUUAGUCGGGUGGUCGCAUCGAAAGAUGAGGAAAGUCCGAGCAUCGCAGGGCAAUGGUGGUGGGUAACGCCCACUGAAGGCGACUUUAAGGAUAGUGCAACAGAAACAAACCGCAAAGCCCUAAAGGCUUUGUAAGGGUGGAAAGGUGCGGUAAGAGCGCACCAGCAAUUCGGCGACGAAAUUGGCUGUGUAAACCCCACUUGAUGCAAGAUACGGAAUCAUUAACGACGGCCCGUCGGAUUCUAAGAUAUCGCUUGAGCGUAUCGGCAACGAUGCGCCUAGACAGAUGACCAUCCAAGACAGAACUCGGCUUACAGACUAACUCAAAAA